AUUAUGCAUUUUGCAGAAUUGCUGGCAGGUACUGACAAAGGCAUGGGCCUCUGGGGGUGCUUUGCAUAACAGUAGCCACUAAGGCUGUGGCCAGAGAACAAGAAAUGCACCUGGAUGCUCAGUCAGCCCCAGGAAAUUUUGCCACAUCGGAAGUCAGUCAGCAAGACAAUGAUGUCAAGGGCUCUACCUACAUCUGACGGGUCUGGUUUCUAUAUAAGCAGUAUAGGGCAGGCAAAAUGGCUCCGCAGGGGCGGACACUGAAGAACCGAGAGGAUAUGUACAUUGUAAACUGUCUGAGGACACACGGCUGGCCAACGGCAGGAAUAGAACUGAAGAGGUUUCUUAUCUCUUCAGAGGGUGGCAGAGAAUUCUGACCCACUGGAGUGAGGCAAGACCAGAUGGCAGGUGCCAAAGGCUGGGCAGACACGUGUAGAACUGAAGUACCUGGCAGCUGUCAAGACAGAAUUUGCUCUCCCCCACCAUGCCCCACCCAUAGUCAUGACAACUUUGGGAUGUAUCCAACCUCACUGGAGCUACCAGAAUGGCAAUAGUAAGUAUGGGCACGCUAGGAGUUAAUGCUUUGGAGAAGGUGGCCUAAGAUCUCAACCUGGAGGGUGCUCAAAGAUGCUGGCUAAGUUGGGGGGUGGGUGAUGUUAGAGAGAGCAAGUUCAGAAGAACAGAGAAGCCAGAAGUGGGAGGAGCCAGCCAAUCAGAUGGUCUGGAAGGCACAGAGAGGAAGCAGUAAGGGCAGACCAGAUUUAUCAGCAGUGGCUAGGCAUCGCUUACAGAAUAAAUAACCAGUAGGAUGUCCUUUGAUGCCUGGGGGAUCAAGAGUGUGGAUCCGUGAUAAAGCGAUGGACCAGAGAGAGCUUCUCUACGGCCAAGAGAGCAAAGCAACCAGGAGCUGUGGAGCAAAGGGAGCUGAGUUUAUUUAUAGAGUUACCAGCCCCCCAAGGGCUAGCCUGGAACAUACCUGAAAACAGAAGCAACCUAGGACAAACCACAAAGGCCCACCCAACCGCAGAUAAGACAUCUGUCACUUCCUGAAUAUCUGUACUGUUUGACUUAAGAGUCUGACCUGAGGGAAAAGAGUCAGAACCCAUGUGUGCACACACAUGCAUUUGUACAUCCACAUGUGUGCACACUUGUGGAAUUACGGAUUUGUGUCUACUAAGUUCAGUGUUCCACUACUGAGGGGUAUUCCAGGCUCCGGACAAGUUCUUUGAGUGACCAUGGGCAUCUAAAGCCAGCAGCUGAGAAGGGAGCAAAGCCAGAGUUGAAGUAGAUUUGGCCUUCUGAAGAGAUGUCCUCCCUGCCUCUCUCCUCCACUGCACUUCCGGAAUCAUAAAGGCCAGAAGUUAUCUAAGGCCUAGGACAACAGAGAAGCCCUUAGUCUGUUGGCUGCCAACCCCUCACCACGGCCUAGAUUCCCAACAGUGAAGAGUCACAUUCUGGAGACUUGCACAGUCCCCAAACACGUUUAGAAAGUACAGCCAACAGAGACACUCAAAGGUGCUUCGAGGAUACAGAAGAGCUCAGAGAAGAAAGCCCACUGGGAUCAGAUAAACGAAUGCCUUAUUUUUUUUUAAGGGCAAUAAAGUGUAUCCUACACAAAUUUCUCCCAGUAAGCCGGAGUGAUAAUUACUCUGCAUUGUCAGCCUGAGGGGGGCAGAAUCAUCUGUGUGACACUUCUCUGGUUAUAUCUCAGACAUCUGAGCGAGCCCUUCCAGUGAGGUUUAACUGAGGUGGGGAAAGAAGACCCACCGGGAAUGUUCGCAGCAUCUCCCGGCAGGUUGGGUCUGGGACUGAUAAGGAGAAAGCGAGCUGAGAACCAGGGUUCAUCUCUCCCUGCUGUGUAAGCAGGACCCGCCCUCCUACGGCUGUACCUCCCCCGCCAUGCUCAUGUGCCUUAAAACUGUGAGUCAAACCAACCCUUACGGCAGGUAUUUCUCACACAGUCCUAGUUACAAUUAACCCACCCAAAUGCCCACCAUCCAUUCUACCCCAGCUCACGAUAGAUACCAUGCCCAGAUACAUCAGCGAGACACCAGCCUUCACAGAUGCCUUUUUCUCACUUUCAGGCUCCUUCGCAUUCAGCCGGAGCCUUUGGUCUAUUUUCUCAGGAUUAUCAGUAGCCAUUUCACACGGAUGUUUACCAAAGGCAAAAAAAAGUUUGAUCAGCUUCC
Molecule: long non-coding RNA, 2186 nt
Organism: Apodemus sylvaticus (European woodmouse)
Lineage: Eukaryota; Metazoa; Chordata; Mammalia; Rodentia; Muridae
Exons: 3
Source: RefSeq, a predicted model, not a curated record